GACGAACGCUGGCGGCGUGCUUAACACAUGCAAGUCGAACGGAAAGGCCCUGCUUUUGUGGGGUGCUCGAGUGGCGAACGGGUGAGUAACACGUGAGUAACCUGCCCUUGACUUUGGGAUAACUUCAGGAAACUGGGGCUAAUACCGGAUAGGAGCUCCUGCUGCAUGGUGGGGGUUGGAAAGUUUCGGCGGUUGGGGAUGGACUCGCGGCUUAUCAGCUUGUUGGUGGGGUAGUGGCUUACCAAGGCUUUGACGGGUGGCCGGCCUGAGAGGGUGACCGGCCACAUUGGGACUGAGAUACGGCCCAGACGCCUACGGGAGGCAGCAGGGGGGAAUAUUGCACAAUGGGCGGAAGCCUGAUGCAGCAACGCCGCGUGCGGGAUGACGGCCUUCGGGUUGUAAACCGCUUUCGCCUGUGACGAAGCGUGAGUGACGGUAAUGGGUAAAGAAGCACCGGCUAACUACGUG
This 468-nucleotide ribosomal RNA is filed under the name uncultured bacterium. RNAcentral describes it as "partial 16S ribosomal RNA". It matches the Rfam family "Bacterial small subunit ribosomal RNA", at positions 28 to 507 of the family's 1533-position model. The record is from RNAcentral.